This 490-nucleotide ribosomal RNA is filed under the name Keratella cochlearis. RNAcentral's name for it is "SSU rRNA". It matches the Rfam family "Eukaryotic small subunit ribosomal RNA", at positions 1 to 485 of the family's 1831-position model. The record is from RNAcentral. Lineage: Eukaryota; Metazoa; Rotifera; Eurotatoria; Ploima; Brachionidae.
UUUACCUGGUUGAUCCUGCCAGUAGUCAUAUGCUUGUCUCAAAGAUUAAGCCAUGCAUGUCUAAGUACAUACUUUUGCACGGUGAAACCGCGAAUGGCUCAUUAAAUCAGUUAUGGUUCCUUAGAUCGUUCAUAUUACAUGGAUAACUGUGGUAAUUCUAGAGCUAAUACAUGCAAAAAGCUCCGACCGUAUGGGAAGAGCGCUUUUAUUAGACCAAAACCAAUGGGGUCGCAAGAUCCCUUUGUAUGGUGACUCUGGAUAACUUUGUGCUGAUCGCAUGGCCUCGAGCCGGCGACGUAUCUUUCAAGUGUCUGCCCUAUCAACUUUCGAUGGUAAGCGACUUGCCUACCAUGGUUGUAACGGGUAACGGGGAAUCAGGGUUCGAUUCCGGAGAGGGAGCAUGAGAAAUGGCUACCACAUCUACGGAAGGCAGCAGGCGCGCAAAUUACCCACUCCUAGAACGGGGAGGUAGUGACGAAAAAUAACAAUA